GCAUUGGUGGUUCAGUGGUAGAAUUCUCGCCUGCCACGCGGGAGGCCCGGGUUCGAUUCCCCCAAUGCA
This 69-nucleotide transfer RNA is filed under the name Merluccius polli (Benguela hake). It matches the Rfam family "tRNA". Rfam says of the family: Transfer RNA (tRNA) molecules are approximately 80 nucleotides in length. Their secondary structure includes four short double-helical elements and three loops (D, anti-codon, and T loops). Lineage: Eukaryota; Metazoa; Chordata; Actinopteri; Gadiformes; Merlucciidae. The record is from Rfam by way of RNAcentral.